GUCGUAACAAGGUCUUUCGUUGGUGAACCAGCGGAAGGGAUCAUUACCGAGUUUACAACUCCCAAACCCCUGUGAACAUACCUAUACGUUGCCUCGGCGGAUCAGCCCGCGCCCCGUAAAACGGGACGGCCCGCCCGAGGACCCCUAAACUCUGUUUUUAGUGGAACUUCUGAGUAAAACAAACAAAUAAAUCAAAACUUUCAACAACGGAUCUCUUGGUUCUGGCAUCGAUGAAGAACGCAGCAAAAUGCGAUAAGUAAUGUGAAUUGCAGAAUUCAGUGAAUCAUCGAAUCUUUGAACGCACAUUGCGCCCGCCAGUAUUCUGGCGGGCAUGCCUGUUCGAGCGUCAUUUCAACCCUCAAGCUCAGCUUGGUGUUGGGACUCGCGGUAACCCGCGUUCCCCAAAUCGAUUGGCGGUCACGUCGAGCUUCCAUAGCGUAGUAAUCAUACACCUCGUUACUGGUAAUCGUCGCGGCCACGCCGUUAAACCCCAACUUCUGAAUGUUGACCUCGGAUCAGGUAGGAAUACCCGCUGAACUUAAGCAUAUCAAUA
RNAcentral lists this ribosomal RNA (553 nucleotides) under Fusarium cf. incarnatum BRS 03. RNAcentral describes it as "eukaryotic LSU rRNA". The stretch from base 196 to 349 matches the Rfam family "5.8S ribosomal RNA". The record is from RNAcentral. Lineage: Eukaryota; Fungi; Ascomycota; Sordariomycetes; Hypocreales; Nectriaceae.